Molecule: long non-coding RNA, 579 nt
Organism: Ornithorhynchus anatinus (platypus)
Lineage: Eukaryota; Metazoa; Chordata; Mammalia; Monotremata; Ornithorhynchidae
Exons: 2
Source: RefSeq, a predicted model, not a curated record
UGCUGCUUCCUCAGAGAAGAAAAAGAGAGAGAGAGUUGGAGAAUAGAAAGAAAUGCAGGAAGAUCCGGAAGAGGGUGAAACAGAAGAUAUGGAGGCUGCAAGAGGAGAAGCAAAGAAUUUUCAAUAUUUCUGGGAUCCUCAAUGACUAAUCAGAAGUUCCUUUGUACCUUCCGGUGAUUUUGACUUUCUAAAGUUUCAUUACAGAUGCUCCCCUUGAAAAUGACAUUGCCACCAAAUUGGGAUGACUUCAGUAGCAGCAAUUUCUUCUGUGAACCUUAACUCUAACUCAUCAUUCCCUACUGAUGUCUUGCAAGAUAUCUCAAAUUACUGGGAACCAGGACAUGAGAAUUUACUCGGAUGGUCUGGCAGAAGGACUGACCCAUGGCUCCAGCCUACCUUUGUUGCAGCUUGGAAGUGGUGCCUGUGUUACCUGGGAGGGAAAAACAAGAGUUCUGGCAGCACUGGAGAGAAUCACCAAUAAGAAAAGAUUUGAAGUGAUAUUGACUCUACUACCUAACAAAUACCCAUUUAUCACUGAAACGUGGCCCUGAAACAACUAAUAAAGUCAAUUGCUUUAAA